GAGCCCGAUGUGGGACUCGAUCCAGGUCUCCAGGAUCACACCCCAGGCUGCAGGUGGCGCCAAACCGCUGAGCCACCCGGGCUGCCCCCAUCCGCUGUUCCUGAGUCGUAUCCUUUACAAGCAUACCCCAAACUUUGAAGCCAGUUGGGGCCCCAGUGUGGGUAACCUGCGGACCCGGUACUGUGGCUCCUGAAGUGGAGGAUGUCUCUGGGUCCCUGCAGCCAGCGGGCUUCCUUAACAAAGCCACCAACUCAGGGCUCAAACUGAGGUGUCACAGGGCCGUGCUACUUCUGGGCACAGCCUCUCCCAGCCUCUGGUGGUGCUGGCGUUCCUUGGCGUCCCUUGGAUGGUGGAUGCAUCACCCCAUCUCUGACUCCGGGGUCACAUGGCAUCUCUCCUCUGGGCUCACGAGGCUGGGCAUCCCCAGGACACUGUGCGUGCAGAGGCCUGUGCACACAGGUUUGCUCUCCACAUGCACCAUCUGCUCCCCUCUUUCACCCCUUGGGGAUCGCUCAGCAUCUGUUGUGUCUGGAGCUGCCUGGCUCUCCGUCGUGGGCGUCGCUUCUCAGCGGUCAGGUGACUUUCAGGACGUGAUCACCAAGGCCAGAAAGAGCAAAGCUUGUUGUCACAGAAGUCACUCUCACAGACCAAGCAUGACAUCAGUUCCUGCCAGGGAAGCACCUGGUCCCAGGGUUGCCCAACCGUGAACAUUUUACCAUGUUUGCUUCAGACCUAAAGCUGCAGAGCGGACUCUUUCAGGGCGUGUUCUCGAAAACCAGGGUCUUGUGCUGCACCUGUGGGGGGCUGUUAGUGCUGACACAGUGAGGUACCUCCUCUACUCUGCAAUCUGUUACCUGGCCCGAUAAUGACCCUGCACACUGCUCCCUCGGGUCACUGCCGGGCAUUUUACCAUCUCGGUGUCCAUUGAUGGGGUUUCUCGGCCAUUCCAUCCUCCCACUGGGGAUUUUGUGCGGAUAUGAGGACUCUUGGCUUCUGUGCGUUGUAUUUAGCCUUACCGAGGUCCUUUAUUAUUUGAGUCUGUGAUCUCCCUGUCGAUGGUCUGGGGCUGUGCGUGCUGCCUGUUUGGGAGGCACGACGUGAGGCUGGGUUUGAGUGUAGAGAAGAUGAAAUGAAAUGCUCACUCCUCAGCCAUGUGUACCCCAUUUCCAGUGCUUAGUGGCCACAGGUGCUGGGCUGGUUGCGGAUGCUGAGGAUGUGGAACAUCCCAUCAUCACGAAAAGUCUCCACGGGAUUUCCAGGUACAAAAGUGUACCUUUGCAAAUGGAGUCAGCCCCUGUGGGCUCCAUUCUUGUAGCCCCAAUGCGCUCCCCAGUUGGACCGUAGUGGUUGAGGCCUCUGGUGCCGGUUUCAUGGGCAGUGGGGGGAGCAGGCAUGGCUGCCAUCCUGCCCCCGAGGACGUCCACAUCUGCUUCUUCAGUUAGGCAUAGGUGUACCAAAAGGCAUAUCCAUGUCACUGUGCCAAGAAAGCAGCAAUCAAUUCCUACUGUCUUUACUCUUUCCGUUUUAUUAUUAUUUGUUAAGAUUUAUUUAUUGAUUGUUUCCUGAGAGACCCAGAGAGUGAGGCAGAGACACAGGAGGGAGAUGCAGGUUCCACGCAGGGAGCCCGAUGAGGGACUCGAUCCCGGGACCCUGGGGUCAUGGCCUGGGCUGAAGUCAGCCACGACCGCUGGACCACCAGGCGUCCCACUGUUUCCGUGUUCAUCAGGAGUGGGCGUCAUUCUGCCCGAGGUCCCUGUGCACCUCUGGGGAGAAGCCGCCGUCUCUCCUGGAAGGUCACUGUAGCAUCCCUGGGUUUCCCAGUGGAGAAGCAGCCGGGGUGCCUGGGAGCUGGUCCGCGGGGUCCGGUGCCCUCCUCCCGUGCAUGGGCUCCGUCUGCGGGCCUCCCGGGGGUGGC
Canis lupus familiaris (dog) is the source of this 1915-nucleotide long non-coding RNA. RefSeq lists it as uncharacterized. The transcript is spliced from 4 exons. Lineage: Eukaryota; Metazoa; Chordata; Mammalia; Carnivora; Canidae. The record is from RefSeq and is a predicted model, not a curated record.